Molecule: transfer RNA, 73 nt
Filed under: Pangasius djambal
Lineage: Eukaryota; Metazoa; Chordata; Actinopteri; Siluriformes; Pangasiidae
Description: tRNA-Glu
Rfam family: tRNA
About the family: Transfer RNA (tRNA) molecules are approximately 80 nucleotides in length. Their secondary structure includes four short double-helical elements and three loops (D, anti-codon, and T loops).
Source: RNAcentral
GUCCCUGAAGGACUAGUGGUUAGGCCACAGCGCUCUCACUGCUGCGGCCUGGGUUUGAGUCCCGGUCAGAACA